Molecule: long non-coding RNA, 527 nt
Filed under: Malus domestica (apple)
Lineage: Eukaryota; Viridiplantae; Streptophyta; Magnoliopsida; Rosales; Rosaceae
Description: long non-coding RNA (MDOM_LNC008313)
Source: RNAcentral
CUCUCCCUUUCUCUCUAAGAGGCCCCCUUAGAGGAGAUUAGCAAGCAAUCUCUCAUCCUCCAAGGUCACUCAUCUCUUCUUCAAGUCCUUCCUUGGUGUGGAAAAAUUAGAGGUUCUCAAUUUUGGGAACUUGGAGAAUCCUUUCAACCAUCCUCAUCCAAGAAAUCCAUGGAUCUAAGAAGCAAGGAAUGAAGGCCCUCUCCUUGGGUGAUUAGCCUUUGCUUAUGCAAAGAGGAAUUAACAAAGGUAUAAAAUCUCUCAACUCACUUUGUUCUUGGGUUGAGUCUUGGUUCACCUUUCUAAUAGGCUUUGAAUUUCAUGGGUAAUGUUUUGUUUAUUGCUCAAAUGAACAUGUUUUUCACAAAAUUUCCUUCAUUAUUGACUGAAGACUUGGGGGACUACACUAUGUACGAUAUAUUGGGCUUCCGCGACUGGGCCUCAUGAAAAAUACUUGGGGGACUUAGCCCAUUAUUUAUGUACUGAGAAGCGAACCCUUAUUCUAUAAAAAGGACCCACUCACGUUCAUU